CGCGUAGGUGGUUUGUUAAGUCAGAGGUGAAAGCCUGGAGCUCAACUCCAGAACUGCCUUUGAUACUGGAAGUCUUGAGUAUGGCAGAGGUGAGUGGAACUGCGAGUGUAGAGAUGAAAUUCGUAGAUAUUCGCAAGAACACCAGUGGCGAAGGCGGCUCACUGGGCCAUUACUGACGCUGAGGCACGAAAGCGUGGGGAGCAAACA
Molecule: ribosomal RNA, 207 nt
Filed under: uncultured bacterium
Lineage: Bacteria
Description: partial 16S ribosomal RNA
Rfam family: Bacterial small subunit ribosomal RNA
Source: RNAcentral